Molecule: long non-coding RNA, 311 nt
Filed under: Pan troglodytes (chimpanzee)
Lineage: Eukaryota; Metazoa; Chordata; Mammalia; Primates; Hominidae
Description: lncRNA (ENSPTRG00000053987.1)
Source: RNAcentral
UGAGCUCCGUAAGGGCAGGAUCUGCAGUUUCAUCUUUCUAUCCUGGGCACUCAGUUCACUGCCUGAUACACAGUAAUAGAGGCACAAAUGUUUCAAAAGUUGAGGAAUUUUCAGCACUUCCUGAAAGAAUAGGAAGAUAUAAAGGCUUCUCAGAGAAGGUAUUAUUUAAGCUUUUCUUUUUCUUUUUCUUUUUUUUUUUUCAGAUGAUGUCUCACUCUGUCACCCAAGAUGGAGUGCAAUGGCACGAUCUCAGCUCACUGCAACCUCUGCCUCCCAGUAGAGACGGGGUUUCACCAUGUUGGGCAGGCUAG